This 301-nucleotide ribosomal RNA is filed under the name uncultured bacterium. RNAcentral describes it as "partial 16S ribosomal RNA". It matches the Rfam family "Bacterial small subunit ribosomal RNA", at positions 509 to 807 of the family's 1533-position model. The record is from RNAcentral.
CAGCAGCCGCGGUAAUACGAAGGGGGCUAGCGUUGCUCGGAAUGACUGGGCGUAAAGGGCGCGUAGGCGGCUGACACAGUCAGAUGUGAAAUUCCUGGGCUCAACCUGGGGACUGCAUUUGAUACUGUUUGGCUUGAGUUCGGGAGAGGUGAGUGGAAUUCCCAGUGUAGAGGUGAAAUUCGUAGAUAUUGGGAAGAACACCAGUGGCGAAGGCGGCUCACUGGCCCGAUACUGACGCUGAGGUGCGAGAGCGUGGGGAGCAAACAGGAUUAGAUACCCCGGUAGUCCCUGUCUCUUAUAC